AGGUGCGAUCAUACCAGCACUAAUGCAUCGGAUCCCAUCAGAACACCGCUACUAAGCGUGCUUGGGCGAGAGUAGUACUAGAAUGGGUGACCUCCUGGGAAGUCCUCGUGUUGCACUUU
RNAcentral lists this ribosomal RNA (119 nucleotides) under Cajanus cajan (pigeon pea). The record is from RNAcentral. Lineage: Eukaryota; Viridiplantae; Streptophyta; Magnoliopsida; Fabales; Fabaceae.